Molecule: non-coding RNA, 30 nt
Filed under: Homo sapiens (human)
Lineage: Eukaryota; Metazoa; Chordata; Mammalia; Primates; Hominidae
Source: RNAcentral
CAAGCUUGCAUUGAGGUUACAAAGUGGCAA